AGGACGAACGCUGGCGGCGUGCCUAACACAUGCAAGUGGAGCGACGAACCGGGCUUCGGCCCGGGGCAAAGCCGCGAACGGGUGAGUAACACGUGGGUAACCUGCCCCGAUGAUUGGGACAACCCGAGGAAACUCGGGCUAAUACCGAAUGUGCCCUCCGGCCUCAAGGCCGCUGGGGAAAGGAAGCUUCGGCCUCCGCAUCGGGAUGGGCCCGCGGCCCAUUAGCUUGUUGGUGAGGUAACGGCUCACCAAGGCGACGAUGGGUAGCUGGUCUGAGAGGACGAUCAGCCACACUGGGACUGAGACACGGCCCAGACUCCUACGGGAGGCAGCAGUGGGGAAUCUUGCGCAAUGCGCGAAAGCGUGACGCAGCAACGCCGCGUGGGGGAAGACGGCCUUCGGGUUGUAAACCCUUCAGUUGGGACGAAGCUUUGCCGGUGAAUAGCCGGUUGGAGUGACGGUACCUUCAGAAGAAGCCCGGCUAACUACGUGCCAGCAGCCGCGGU
This 506-nucleotide ribosomal RNA is filed under the name uncultured bacterium. RNAcentral's name for it is "SSU rRNA". It matches the Rfam family "Bacterial small subunit ribosomal RNA", at positions 26 to 521 of the family's 1533-position model. The record is from RNAcentral.